AAGAAAAUAGUUAAAUAAAUAACGUUGGUUUGUCAUUCCAAAAUCAGCGACUGUCGCUUUUUCUCG
RNAcentral lists this transfer RNA (66 nucleotides) under Bathymodiolus thermophilus. RNAcentral's name for it is "tRNA-Asp". The record is from RNAcentral. Lineage: Eukaryota; Metazoa; Mollusca; Bivalvia; Mytilida; Modiolidae.